This 883-nucleotide ribosomal RNA is filed under the name uncultured bacterium. RNAcentral's name for it is "bacterial SSU rRNA". It matches the Rfam family "Bacterial small subunit ribosomal RNA", at positions 76 to 965 of the family's 1533-position model. The record is from RNAcentral.
GCUGCUAGAUGCUGACGAGUGGCGCACGGGUGCGUAACGCGUAUGCAACUUACCCUUAACAGGAGGAUAGCCUUUCGAAAGGAAGAAUAAUACUCCAUAAUAUUUUUAAGAGGCAUCCCUUAAAUCUUAAAGUUCCGGCGGUUAAGGAUAGGCAUGCGUCCUAUUAGUUAGUUGGUGAGGUAACGGCUUACCAAGACAUCGAUAGGUAGGGGGCCUGAGAGGGUUAUCCCCCACACUGGUACUGAGACACGGACCAGACUCCUACGGGAGGCAGCAGUGAGGAAUAUUGCACAAUGGACGAAAGUCUGAUGCAGCCAUGCCGCGUGCAGGAUGACUGCCCUAUGGGUUGUAAACUGCUUUUAUAUAGGAAGAAACCCAUCUACGUGUAGAUGGCUGACGGUACUAUAAGAAUAAGGACCGGCUAACUCCGUGCCAGCAGCCGCGGUAAUACGGAGGGUCCAAGCGUUAUCCGGAUUCAUUGGGUUUAAAGGGUCCGCAGGCGGGGAAAUAAGUCAGUGGUGAAAGCCUGCAGCUUAACUGUAGAACUGCCAUUGAUACUGUUUUUCUUGAGUGUAGAUGAAGUGGGCGGAAUGUGUCAUGUAGCGGUGAAAUGCAUAGAUAUGACACAGAACACCGAUGCGAAGGCAGCUCACUAAACUAUUACUGACGCUCAUGGACGAAAGCGUGGGGAGCGAACAGGAUUAGAUACCCUGGUAGUCCACGCCGUAAACGAUGAUUACUCGGUGCUAGCGAUAUACUGUUAGUGCCUAAGCGAAAGCGAUAAGUAAUCCACCUGGGGAGUACGGUCGCAAGAUUGAAACUCAAGGAAUUGACGGGGCCCGCACAAGCGGUGGAGCAUGUGGUUAAUUCGAUGAUACGCGAG